Molecule: long non-coding RNA, 1419 nt
Filed under: Gallus gallus (chicken)
Lineage: Eukaryota; Metazoa; Chordata; Aves; Galliformes; Phasianidae
Description: lncRNA (ENSGALG00010000415.1)
Source: RNAcentral
CCCCAAAGAGACCCCAAAAGGGACUCCAAAGGGGACCCCAAAGGGGACACCAAAGGGACCCCAAAAGGGACCCCAAAAGGGACCCCAAAGAGAGCCCAAAAGGGACACCAAAAGGGACCCCAAAGGGGACCCCAAAGGGGACACCAAAAUGACCCCAUAGGGACCCAAAAAUGACCCUACAGAUACCCCAAAAUGACCUUAUAGAGACCCCAAAACGACUCCAUAGGAACCCCAAAGCAAAGUGACCCCAUAGGGACCCCAAAAUGACCCCAUAAGGACUCCAAAGUGACCCCACAGGGACCCUAAAAUGACCUCAGAGACCCCAAAAUGUCCCCAUAGGGACCCCAAAGCAAAGCGAUCCCAUAGGGACCCCAAAAGAACCCCACAGAGGCCCCAAAAUGACCCCAUAGAGACCCAAAAAUGACCCCAUAGGGACCCUAAAACGACCCCAUAGAGACCCCAAAGCAAAGCGACCCCAUAGGGACCCCAAAAUGACCCCACAGGGACCCCAAAAUGGCCUCAGAGACCCCAAAAUGACCCCAUAGGGACCCCAAAGCAAAGCGACCCCACAGAGGCCCCAAAAUGACCCCAUAGGGACCCCAAAAUGACCCCAUAGGGACCCUAAAGUGACCCCAUAGAGACCCCAAAGCAAAGCAAACCCAUAGGGACCCCAAAAUAACCCCAUACGGACCCCAAAAUGACCCCACAGGGACCCCAAAAUGGCCUCAGAGACCCCCAAAUGACCCCAUAGGGACCCUAAAAUGACCCCAUAGGGACCCCAAAGCAAAGCAACCCCAUAGGGACCCCAAAAUAACCCCACAGAGGCCCCAAAAUGACCCCAUAGAGACCCCAAAGCAAAGCAACCCCAUAGGGACCCCAAAAUGACCCCAUAGGGACCCUAAAAUGGCCUCAAAGAGACCCCAAAAUGACCCCACAGAGGCCCCAAAAUGACCCCACAGAGGCCCCAAAGCAAAGUGACCCCAUAGGGACCCCAAAAUAACCCCAUAGGGACCCUAAAAUGACCCCACAGGGACCCCAAAAUGGCCCCAUAGGGACCCCAAAGUGACCCCACAGAGGCCCCAAAGUGACCCCAUAGGGACCCAAAAGCAAAGCAGCCCCAUAGGGACCCCAAAAUAACCCCAAAAUGACCCCAUAGAGACCCCGAAACGACCCCAUAGAGACCCCAAAGCAAAACGACCCCAUAGGGACCCCAAAGUGACCCCACAGAGGCCCCAAAAUGACCCCAUAGGGACCCCAAAAUGACCUCAGAGACCCCAAAAUGACCCCAUAGGGACCCCAAAGAAAAGCGACCCCAUAGGGACCCCACAAUAACCCCAUAUGGACCCCAAAAUGACCCCAAAAUGACCCCAUGGGGACCCCCCUGACCCCAUAACCCCCCCCGAGACCCCAUAAUCCCCC